CACGUAGGGGGCAAGCGUUGUCCGGAUUUAUUGGGCGUAAAGAGCUCGUAGGCGGUUCGGUAAGUCGGGUGUGAAAACUCUGGGCUCAACUCAGAGACGCCACCCGAUACUGCUGUGACUUGAGUCUGGUAGGGGAGUGUGGAAUUCCCGGUGUAGCGGUGAAAUGCGCAGAUAUCGGGAGGAACACCAGUGGCGAAGGCGGCACUCUGGGCCAGUACUGACGCUGAGGAGCGAAAGCGUGGGGAGCGAACAGGAUUAGAUACCCCCGUAGUCC
This 274-nucleotide ribosomal RNA is filed under the name uncultured bacterium. RNAcentral's name for it is "partial 16S ribosomal RNA". It matches the Rfam family "Bacterial small subunit ribosomal RNA", at positions 524 to 796 of the family's 1533-position model. The record is from RNAcentral.